AGAGUUUGAUCCUGGCUCAGGAUGAACGCUGGCGGCGUGCCUAAUACAUGCAAGUCGAGCGAACGGACGAGAAGCUUGCUUCUCUGAUGUUAGCGGCGGACGGGUGAGUAACACGUGGAUAACCUACCUAUAAGACUGGGAUAACUUCGGGAAACCGGAGCUAAUACCGGAUAAUAUUUUGAACCGCAUGGUUCAAAAGUGAAAGACGGUCUUGCUGUCACUUAUAGAUGGAUCCGCGCUGCAUUAGCUAGUUGGUAAGGUAACGGCUUACCAAGGCAACGAUGCAUAGCCGACCUGAGAGGGUGAUCGGCCACACUGGAACUGAGACACGGUCCAGACUCCUACGGGAGGCAGCAGUAGGGAAUCUUCCGCAAUGGGCGAAAGCCUGACGGAGCAACGCCGCGUGAGUGAUGAAGGUCUUCGGAUCGUAAAACUCUGUUAUUAGGGAAGAACAUAUGUGUAAGUAACUGUGCACAUCUUGACGGUACCUAAUCAGAAAGCCACGGCUAACUACGUGCCAGCAGCCGCGGUAAUACGUAGGUGGCAAGCGUUAUCCGGAAUUAUUGGGCGUAAAGCGCGCGUAGGCGGUUUUUUAAGUCUGAUGUGAAAGCCCACGGCUCAACCGUGGAGGGUCAUUGGAAACUGGAAAACUUGAGUGCAGAAGAGGAAAGUGGAAUUCCAUGUGUAGCGGUGAAAUGCGCAGAGAUAUGGAGGAACACCAGUGGCGAAGGCGACUUUCUGGUCUGUAACUGACGCUGAUGUGCGAAAGCGUGGGGAUCAAACAGGAUUAGAUACCCUGGUAGUCCACGCCGUAAACGAUGAGUGCUAAGUGUUAGGGGGUUUCCGCCCCUUAGUGCUGCAGCUAACGCAUUAAGCACUCCGCCUGGGGAGUACGACCGCAAGGUUGAAACUCAAAGGAAUUGACGGGGACCCGCACAAGCGGUGGAGCAUGUGGUUUAAUUCGAAGCAACGCGAAGAACCUUACCAAAUCUUGACAUCCUUUGACAACUCUAGAGAUAGAGCCUUCCCCUUCGGGGGACAAAGUGACAGGUGGUGCAUGGUUGUCGUCAGCUCGUGUCGUGAGAUGUUGGGUUAAGUCCCGCAACGAGCGCAACCCUUAAGCUUAGUUGCCAUCAUUAAGUUGGGCACUCUAAGUUGACUGCCGGUGACAAACCGGAGGAAGGUGGGGAUGACGUCAAAUCAUCAUGCCCCUUAUGAUUUGGGCUACACACGUGCUACAAUGGACAAUACAAAGGGCAGCGAAACCGCGAGGUCAAGCAAAUCCCAUAAAGUUGUUCUCAGUUCGGAUUGUAGU
This 1315-nucleotide ribosomal RNA is filed under the name Staphylococcus aureus. Its description in RNAcentral is "bacterial SSU rRNA". It matches the Rfam family "Bacterial small subunit ribosomal RNA", at positions 8 to 1304 of the family's 1533-position model. The record is from RNAcentral. Lineage: Bacteria; Bacillati; Bacillota; Bacilli; Caryophanales; Staphylococcaceae.